Molecule: RNA transcript, 3132 nt
Organism: Peromyscus eremicus (cactus mouse)
Lineage: Eukaryota; Metazoa; Chordata; Mammalia; Rodentia; Cricetidae
Gene: Srsf1
Gene name: serine and arginine rich splicing factor 1
Exons: 7
Source: RefSeq, a predicted model, not a curated record
CCCCCCCCUCCCCCCCCAUAUCAGUGCGCCGAGCUGAUAAAGGCGCCAUUUUGGACGGGCCGCGGGAGACGUGGUGCCGCUGAGGGCUCGCUCUGCCGUACGCUAGGCUUGGUGGGAAGGCCUCUCUUCUCGAGUCCGCGCCUUUUUUCGUCGCCGCCAUGUCAGGAGGUGGUGUGAUCCGUGGCCCGGCGGGGAACAACGACUGCCGCAUCUACGUGGGGAACCUACCUCCGGACAUCCGAACCAAGGACAUUGAGGACGUGUUUUACAAAUACGGCGCCAUCCGCGACAUCGACCUGAAGAACCGCCGCGGGGGACCUCCCUUCGCCUUCGUUGAGUUCGAGGACCCGCGAGACGCGGAAGAUGCGGUGUACGGUCGCGACGGCUACGAUUACGACGGCUACCGUCUGCGGGUGGAGUUCCCCCGAAGCGGCCGCGGGACAGGCCGAGGCGGCGGCGGGGGUGGAGGCGGCGGAGCUCCGAGAGGCCGCUAUGGCCCGCCCUCCCGGCGGUCCGAAAACAGAGUGGUUGUCUCCGGACUGCCUCCGAGUGGAAGCUGGCAGGAUUUAAAGGAUCACAUGCGUGAAGCAGGUGAUGUAUGUUAUGCUGAUGUUUACCGAGAUGGCACUGGUGUCGUGGAGUUUGUACGGAAAGAAGAUAUGACGUAUGCAGUUCGAAAACUGGAUAACACUAAGUUUAGAUCUCAUGAGGGAGAAACUGCCUACAUCCGGGUUAAAGUUGAUGGGCCCAGAAGUCCAAGUUAUGGAAGAUCUCGCUCUCGAAGCCGUAGUCGUAGCAGAAGCCGUAGCAGAAGCAACAGCAGGAGUCGCAGUUACUCCCCAAGGAGAAGCAGAGGAUCACCACGCUAUUCUCCCCGUCAUAGCAGAUCUCGCUCUCGUACAUAAGAUGAUUGACAUAUCUGAAGAGAUGGAUUAAGAAUGCUUUGGAUUAAGGAUUGUGGAGCACAUUUCAAUCAUUUUAGGAUUGUCAAAAGGAGGAUUGAGGAGGAUCAGAUCAAUAAUGGAGGCAAUGGUAUGACUCCAAGUGCUAUUGUCACAGAUGAAAUUGGCAGUAUUGACCUUAUACUAAAAGACAAGGGUGAAAAUUUUUAUCUACCUUAAAACACUUGCAAACAUCUUAAUGCAGUUACCUUUAGCUACAAUUGCUUUGCUUUUUAAACCUUGGCAAUUGUGGCAAAAUUGCCCAUUUUGUAACAGUUAUUUGCUCCCUUCCCCCCCCUUUUGUUUUAAUAGGGACUAAUGUGGGAAGAAUGGCUAAUUUGUCACAGUGCUUAGUUACAACUGUUAAUGUGUGGCCUGCUGUUGGUGUACAUGUGGGUACAGGGUGUCUAUUUCCAAACAGAGUAUAAUAUCAAUACUGCUAAAUCUGCAUGUCCUCUGUGUGACUGAUAGAGCGUUGUUAUUUCAUUUUUUAAAGACAAAAUGACAGCAAAAUAUAGAAUCCAACGUAUUAGUGUAGAUAAUCUAGUUGGGAGUACUUUAAGUCUCACCUUCCCUUUUAAUAUUCAUAAUUGACUCAUGUUAAAACACUUUAAUUUACAAGCUAAAUUGCAGAUGGGAGCAAUAGAUUUAGUUUAGACUUAGGUGGGUAGCAGUACCAGUAAACUUCAAUUACAUAACUUUGCAGCCACAAAACCUGUGAUACCUGUACAAUAAAUAACAAGUGUUGGCAUUAUCAGUUGAACUGUAAAUAUAAAGUGCUUCUUCCAGUUAGUCUCUAUAAUGAUUAAGUUUCUAAAAUUUAUCUAAACACCAUACAGAAACUUGUUUUGGGGAAUUUGAUAGUUAUUGAUGUACAUCUGUUAAACUGAUGACAGACAUAACUCAUCAUUCCCCAGAAACCUUUUUUGAUUACAGUAUCUAACAUUUUGCCUCCUCUUUUUUGGUUUUGCUGGUUAUAAAGGUUUGGAUUGGAGAGGGCUCACUGGAUCCCAAUCCUUGGAGCUGGAUCAUUGGAUUCAAAUCAUAAUGUGGAUAGGAUAGGGAGGAUGAAUUACCAGGAUUCAUGGAGCGGGAUCAGAUUACCAGGAACAUAGGAGUGGAUUCCUUCCUGCCCCAACCAAACCGCAUUCGUGUGGAUUUUUUUUUCAUUCAACUUAAUUGGCUAUUCCAAAGAGUUUUUUUUCCUAUUUUUGACGAUUGGAGCCCUUAAGAUGCACGAUGGAAUUGUGUUUUGCAUUUUUUGGUAAAAGGAGCAAAGCGAGGACCUGGAGAUAUACGCUGGAGCAAUCUCCUUGGAAGGAUUCAGCACGAGUAGAUGGAUAUUGUAGGGACUCUGAUUAGUUUUUCUAACCAAGAAAGCACUUAAAUCUCUUUAAGCAAGUACUUUGCAUAACAUCUGAUUGAAUAAUCCAACUUGCUGUUCAGCUCAUCCUACUGGAGACAAAGGCUGACCAGUUCUCUGGUGGUUACCGCUACUGAUCCAUCCAAACUGCUGGACUUCUCGUUCAUACCCAAGGCCUCCAGGCAGUAUCUAAUGAGGAGUCAACACUAAAAGGAACCAGACCAUCAUUUCCCAGCCCCUUUAUUCUGGUGACUGAUGGACGAGUGCGAGAGGAAUAUAUUUGCUUGUUUAAUGGGUGGGAAAACAGAUCAAGUUACUGUACCUCUUCAGUUUCUAUUCUCAAGUUCUGCAACUGUGCUACUUGGAUCAUAUAUAUUGGGGGAAGUUGAAGAUGUGUCUUUCAUUAGAAGUGUCUGGAGGGGAUAAGAGUCAGUUUGAAAUAUGUUGAAGUCCUGAAAUAAUGUGCCCAUCUGAGGAAUUUUUAAAAACAAGUUUAUAAAAAUACCAUAGAUGGAGCCUGCCCCCUCAUUUCCCCACCACAGAUUUCUGGGACUGGAGACAUGUGUUGAAUAAUAGCUUGUCUCUGAUAUUCACAGUAGCUACCUCUAUGUGAGGAAAGGAUAGAAAACAUUCAAGACUUCAUUCGGGCUUAUGAUCUACAGAUUCCAACCAGUAGCAGUGGCUGACUCCUACACAGAAGACUGGGAACUGCAAACAGGCUGGGGUCACCUCAGUGACAUCUGACGCUGUCCAACCAGAAGUCUGGCUUUUUUUCCGGGGGAGGAGGGGUGAAAAAUGUACUAAAAGACUAAAAUAAUUUUGUCUCUA